This 29-nucleotide non-coding RNA is filed under the name Rattus norvegicus (Norway rat). The record is from RNAcentral. Lineage: Eukaryota; Metazoa; Chordata; Mammalia; Rodentia; Muridae.
UGCCAGGGUACCCUGCUAAUUCAUGCUGC